GAAAAGAGGGGACAUUAUGAAAGGAGAGAGGUAAAAGAGAGUAUGGAGAAAAGAGGGGACAUUAUGAAAGGAGAGAGGUAAAGAGAGUAUGGAGAAAAGAGGGGACAUUAUGAAAGGAGAGAGGUAAAAGAGGAUAUGGAGAAAAGAGGGGACAUUAUGAAAGGAGAGAGGUAAAAGAGGAUAUGGAGAAAAGAGGGGACAUUAUGAAAGGAGAGAGGUAAAAGAGGAUAUGGAGAAAAGAGGGGACAUUAUGAAAGGAGAGAGGUAAAGAGAGUAUGGAGAAAAGAGGGGACAUUAUGAAAGGAGAGAG
Long non-coding RNA from Oncorhynchus tshawytscha (Chinook salmon), 310 nucleotides. Lineage: Eukaryota; Metazoa; Chordata; Actinopteri; Salmoniformes; Salmonidae. The record is from Ensembl.